GAGACCGAUAGUGAACUAGUACCGUGAGGGAAAGGUGAAAAGAACCCCGAGAGGGGAGUGAAAUAGAAACUGAAACCGCAAGUCUACAAGCAGUCGAAGCACUAUUCUAAUGUGCGACGGCGUACCUUUUGCAUAAUGAGUCAGCGAGUUACCUUUACAAGCAAGCUUAAGCCGUUACAGGUGUAGGCGCAGCGAAAGCGAGUCUUAACUGGGCGUUUAGUUUGUAGGGGUAGACCCGAAACCCGGUGAUCUAACCAUGGGCAGGUUGAAGCGUGGCUAACCCCACGUGGAGGACCGAACAAGUGGAGGUUGAAAACUCCUUUGAUGACCUGUGGUUAGGGGUGAAAGGCCAAUCAAACUGGGUGAUAGCUGGUUCUCCUCGAAAUAUAUUUAGGUAUAGCGUCAAUUAAUUUUAUCCCGGAGGUAGAGCACUGAUUGGGCUAGGGGUCUUCACCAGAUUACCAAACCCUACCAAACUCCGAAUGCCGGUGAUAACUAUUUUGGCAGUCAGACGUCGGGUGAUAAGGUCCGGCGUCAAAAGGGAAAGAGCCCAGACCGUCAGCUAAGGUCCCUAAAUCAAUGCUAAGUGGUAAACGUUGUGGCGCUGCUGUGACAACUAGGAGGUUGGCUUAGAAGCAGCAAUCCUUUAAAGAAAGCGUAAUAGCUCACUAGUCUAGCGGCGCUGCGCGGAAAAUAUAACGGGGCUUAAGCAUUGUACCGAAGCUACGGGUUCAUACUUUGUAUGAGCGGUAGAGGAGCAUUGAAGCGUAGGCUGAAGGUCGAGCGGAAGCACGGCUGGACGAACUUCAAGAGAUCAUGCUGACAUUAGUAGCGUUUAAUGGUGGGGAAGAGCCACCACGCCGAAAACUCAAGGGUUCCUGGGCAAGGAUCAUCCUCCCAGGGUUAGUCGGGUCCUAAGACGAGGCCAAGUGGCGUAGUCGAUGGCAAAUGCGUUAAUAUUCGUAUACCUGAUUACUUUUAUACUUGCGGAGGGACGCAGUAGGAUAUCCCAGCCUGUUAUUGGAUUCAGGUGUAAGCGCGUAGGAGGUCACUUAGGCAAAUCCGGGUGGCAUAACUCUGAGACGUUAAUGCGAGAGUCUACGGACUCGGAAGUGGGAAAAGCCAUGCUGCCAAGAAAAGCUUCGUAAGGUUUUGUAAUCAGCCCGUACUGUAAACCGACUCAGGUGAGUGGGGUGAGAAUCCUAAGGCGAUUGAGAUAACUUUGGUUAAGGAACUCGGCAACUUGAGGCCGUAACUUCGGGAUAAGGCCUGCCCCUGAUGGUGUAAGCACUUGCUGCUGAAGCUGUUGGGGGUCGCAGAGACCAGGGAGUAGCGACUGUUUAUCAAAAACACAGGGCUGUGCUAAUUCACAAGAAGAUGUAUACAGCCUGACGCCUGCCCGGUGCCGGAAGGUUAAGAGGAUUUGUUAGCGUAAGCGAAGCGGAGAAUCGAAGCCCCGGUAAACGGCGGCCGUAACUAUAACGGUCCUAAGGUAGCGAAAUUCCUUGUCGGGUAAGUUCCGACCUGCACGAAUGGCGUAACGACUUCUCCGGUGUCUCAACCAAAGACUCAGUGAACUUGAACUCGCAGUGAAAAUGCUGCGUUCCCGCAGAAAGACGGAAAGACCCCGUGAACCUUUACUAUAGCUUGGCAUUGAGCACUGAAACAUCAUGUGUAGGAUAGGUGGGAGACUUUGAAACUAGGACGCUAGUUCUAGUGGAGUCAUCCUUGAAAUACCACCCUUGUUGUUUUGGUGUUCUAACCUGCGCCCGUUAUCCGGGCGGGGGACAAUGUCUGGUGGGUAGUUUGACUGGGGCGGUCGCCUCCCAAAAAGUAACGGAGGCGUACGAAGGUUCCCUCAGCCUGAUUGGAAACCAGGCGUCGAGUGCAUUGGCAUAAGGGAGCUUGACUGCGAGGCCUACAAGCCGAGCAGGUGCGAAAGCAGGUCAA
Molecule: ribosomal RNA, 1950 nt
Filed under: marine metagenome
Description: bacterial LSU rRNA
Rfam family: Bacterial large subunit ribosomal RNA
Source: RNAcentral